GCUGUAGGUCAGUGUGUUAAAUUAAAGCGUUAUUGUAAUAUUGUUGCGUGUGUAAGUGUAGACUUAGGAAUUGAACAUCUGUCCAUGUCUGCCAAGUCAAGAGUAAGAGAUCAGAAUCAAGAAUAUCAAGAUCUUUGACAGCUGCUGCACUGGGCCUCUUCAUGGUUGAACGGAGAACAUCUUCCCCUCAGGGUACAUUUUCAAGAUCAUAUUGUAAGAGUGCAUCCAAACACGCCUAUCAUGAGCAUGACCACAGAGAGGUAGUCUGUGAACACGUCCCACCAUGGCUUCAGGACCCGGAAC
Danio aesculapii is the source of this 303-nucleotide long non-coding RNA. RefSeq lists it as uncharacterized. The record is from RefSeq and is a predicted model, not a curated record. The transcript is spliced from 3 exons. Lineage: Eukaryota; Metazoa; Chordata; Actinopteri; Cypriniformes; Danionidae.